Molecule: ribosomal RNA, 253 nt
Filed under: uncultured bacterium
Lineage: Bacteria
Description: partial 16S ribosomal RNA
Rfam family: Bacterial small subunit ribosomal RNA
Source: RNAcentral
GACGUAGGGCGCGAGCGUUGUCCGGAUUUAUUGGGCGUAAAGAGCUCGUAGGCGGCUUGUCACGUCGAUUGUGAAAGCCCGAGGCUUAACCUCGGGUCUGCAGUCGAUACGGGCUAGCUAGAGUGUGGUAGGGGCAGAGGGAAUUCCUGGUGUAGCGGUGAAAUGCGCAGAUAUCAGGAGGAACACCAGCGGCGAAGGCGGCGCUCUGGGCCGGAACUGACGCUGAGGAGCGAAAGCGUGGGUAGCAAACAGG